MicroRNA precursor from Oryza rufipogon (brownbeard rice), 215 nucleotides. It matches the Rfam family "MIR812 microRNA precursor family". Lineage: Eukaryota; Viridiplantae; Streptophyta; Magnoliopsida; Poales; Poaceae. The record is from Rfam.
AGAAAGAUAAACCCUAGAUUUGCGUACCAACGUUUGACAGUUCGUCUUAUAUGAAAUAUUUUUAUAUUUUCUUAUAAUUAGUAUUUUCAUUGUUGUUAGAUGAUAAAACAUGAUUAAUAUUUUAUGCGUGACUUAUCUUUUUAAUUUUUUUCAUAAUUUUUUUAAAUAAGAUGAACAGUCAAAUGUUGGACACAGAAACCAGGGUUUGUCUUUUU